GCAAACACGAACUACUACAUGUAGUAGUUCGUGCUAAUAAUAUUAUACGUCAUACUAUUAUGAAUAGUAAAAUGAAUAAUCUUUGAAAGUUGAAGUUUUCAAUUAUACUUAUAAUAAAUAAAUUUUAAUUCGCCCCAAUUCGGUGGACAGGGAUGUAGCCACUGCGAAGAAAACCGUCAGUCGUCAGAGCACAACACCAUGAAGACGGCGCACCGGUUCCUGAAUUUUAAAUAGACUAUUUUAUCCAUGCCUAAUACGUUAUACAAUUUAAAUACAACGAGCAGUAAUAACCAAUCAAUAGUGGAAUGUUGUUAUAUAAAUGCGUGCAUCAACAUGAAUGGCUCAGUAAAUUAAUUUGAUGAAAAUAAGGUGAAAUAUUACAGAUUUAACAAGUAAUAAUUCAUCUCAAAACAAUACAACUGUCUUCCUAGAGGAUUUCCAGAAUUUUAUUACAAUUAACAGUCGAUGAAUUUGCUUCUAGAAUGGAAUCACUAACCAGUAUGCACAUCUCAUAUAGAUAUAUUAUUAUACCAAUUUACACUGAACAAGGAACCUCUAAUAUUGAACAAUAAACUGUUAUUCAAAACAUUGCUGGUCAAACGAUGUCAUAUCAAAAAACGCAGUAUUUAUAUAAUCCUAAUGAGGUUACUUUACAAAGAAUGUUAUAAACAAAAGUUGUCAAAAUAUGUUGGUGGAAUAUUGUUUGUGAUAUAAUCAAAAAUGGCUUUGCAAUAACAGUGUUAUAGUAUUCUAUAGCCAGUGCAAUUUGUUAGAACUUUUCAUUCUAAAAUAAAGGAUUUACAUUUUGGUAAUGAUGCCUUGAAUUCCCCAAAAGGAAAAUUAUCUUCAAAAUAUUUUAACACCAUUUGAACAAUGACACAAUGUGAAUAGAAAUUAUGGAUUUAUUUGGUAAUAUAUAAUAAUUAAUAAUGUAUUGUACAUAAUAAUGUGUAAUUUAUUAGUAAAUAUUAGGUGUGGAAUUUCUCGGAGAAAAAAGUGAAGUAGAAUGAUAUGAUUGGUUAUUAAAUAAAAUAUAAUAGAAGCAGUGUUAUAGCGAGAAACUUGUGUGCCCUAAUCGACAGAGACUCUCCAAAACAUAGAAAUUAAAUAAAAAUAA
RNAcentral lists this long non-coding RNA (1117 nucleotides) under Acyrthosiphon pisum (pea aphid). Its description in RNAcentral is "uncharacterized LOC107884722". The record is from RNAcentral. Lineage: Eukaryota; Metazoa; Arthropoda; Insecta; Hemiptera; Aphididae.